RNAcentral lists this small RNA (88 nucleotides) under Flavobacterium frigoris. Its description in RNAcentral is "Flavo-1 RNA". It matches the Rfam family "Flavo-1 RNA". The record is from RNAcentral. Lineage: Bacteria; Pseudomonadati; Bacteroidota; Flavobacteriia; Flavobacteriales; Flavobacteriaceae.
GCCUUGCGUGAGGGAUUGCAGCGGAGCUCUUUAUGGUCUCGCUCUUAAAACGAGACCAUAAAAGCGAGAGUGUAAAGCCCGACCUCGU